UUUCCUACGGGGCGCAGCAGUGGGGAAUAUUGGGCAAUGGACGCAAGUCUGACCCAGCAACGCCGCGUGAAGGAAGAAGGCUUUCGGGUUGUAAACUUCUUUUAAGGGGGAAGAGUAGAAGACGGUACCCCUUGAAUAAGCCACGGCUAACUACGUGCCAGCAGCCGCGGUAAUACGUAGGUGGCAAGCGUUGUCCGGAUUUACUGGGUGUAAAGGGCGUGCAGCCGGGCUGACAAGUCAGAUGUGAAAUCCCGCGGCUCAACCGCGGAACUGCAUUUGAAACUGUCAGUCUUGAGUACCGGAGA
This 305-nucleotide ribosomal RNA is filed under the name uncultured bacterium. RNAcentral's name for it is "bacterial SSU rRNA". It matches the Rfam family "Bacterial small subunit ribosomal RNA", at positions 335 to 655 of the family's 1533-position model. The record is from RNAcentral.